GGGCGUCUCUUUCUCAUUACGAGUGGAGGCGCACCUAUAGCGUACACGCUGAUACCCGAAAGAUGGUGAACUAUGCCUGGCCAGGACGAAGCCAGGGGAAACCCUGGUGGAGGUCCGCAGCGAUUCUGACGUGCAAAUCGAUCGUCGGAGCUGGGUAUAGGGGCGAAAGACCAAUCGAACCAUCUAGUAGCUGGUUCCCUCUGAAGUUUCCCUCAGGAUAGCUUGCGCUCGGUUGAGACGAGUCUCAUCCGGUAGAGCGAAUGAUUAGAGGCCUUGGGGUCGAAACGACCUCAACCUAUUCUCAAACUCCAAAUAGAUGAGAUCCCCGGCUUGCUUAAAAGUGAAGCCGGGACUCGGAUCAGAGUGCCAAGUGGGCCAAUUUU
This 383-nucleotide ribosomal RNA is filed under the name Prostemma hilgendorfii. Its description in RNAcentral is "eukaryotic LSU rRNA". It matches the Rfam family "Eukaryotic large subunit ribosomal RNA", at positions 763 to 1138 of the family's 3401-position model. Lineage: Eukaryota; Metazoa; Arthropoda; Insecta; Hemiptera; Nabidae. RNAcentral also lists the same sequence under 1 other name. The record is from RNAcentral.